CUUGCUUGGUGGAUCAGUGGCGAACGGGUGAGUAACACGUGAGCAACCUGCCCUGGACUCUGGGAUAAGCGCUGGAAACGGCGUCUAAUACUGGAUAUGAGCCCCUAUCGCAUGGUGGGGGUUGGAAAGAUUUUUUGGUCUGGGAUGGGCUCGCGGCCUAUCAGCUUGUUGGUGAGGUAAUGGCUCACCAAGGCGUCGACGGGUAGCCGGCCUGAGAGGGUGACCGGCCACACUGGGACUGAGACACGGCCCAGACUCCUACGGGAGGCAGCAGUGGGGAAUAUUGCACAAUGGGCGAAAGCCUGAUGCAGCAACGCCGCGUGCGGGAUCACGGCCUUCGGGUUGAAAACCUCUUAUAGCAGGGAACAAC
This 370-nucleotide ribosomal RNA is filed under the name Microbacterium sp. 1a. RNAcentral's name for it is "bacterial SSU rRNA". It matches the Rfam family "Bacterial small subunit ribosomal RNA", at positions 79 to 450 of the family's 1533-position model. The record is from RNAcentral. Lineage: Bacteria; Bacillati; Actinomycetota; Actinomycetes; Micrococcales; Microbacteriaceae.